This 495-nucleotide ribosomal RNA is filed under the name uncultured bacterium. RNAcentral's name for it is "partial 16S ribosomal RNA". It matches the Rfam family "Bacterial small subunit ribosomal RNA", at positions 28 to 507 of the family's 1533-position model. The record is from RNAcentral.
GACGAACGCUGGCGGCGUGCCUAAUACAUGCAAGUAGAACGCUGAAGGAGGAGCUUGCUUCUCUGGAUGAGUUGCGAACGGGUGAGUAACGCGUAGGUAACCUGCCUGGUAGCGGGGGAUAACUAUUGGAAACGAUAGCUAAUACCGCAUAAGAGUAGAUGUUGCAUGACAUUUGCUUAAAAGGUGCAAUUGCAUCACUACCAGAUGGACCUGCGUUGUAUUAGCUAGUUGGUGGGGUAACGGCUCACCAAGGCGACGAUACAUAGCCGACCUGAGAGGGGGAUCGGCCACACUGGGACUGAGACACGGCCCAGACUCCUACGGGAGGCAGCAGUAGGGAAUCUUCGGCAAUGGACGGAAGUCUGACCGAGCAACGCCGCGUGAGUGAAGAAGGUUUUCGGAUCGUAAAGCUCUGUUGUAAGAGAAGAACGAGUGUGGGAGUGGAAAGUUCACACUGUGACGGUAUCUUACCAGAAAGGGACGGCUAACUACGUG